This 70-nucleotide transfer RNA is filed under the name Dyella tabacisoli. It matches the Rfam family "tRNA". Rfam says of the family: Transfer RNA (tRNA) molecules are approximately 80 nucleotides in length. Lineage: Bacteria; Pseudomonadati; Pseudomonadota; Gammaproteobacteria; Lysobacterales; Rhodanobacteraceae. The record is from Rfam by way of RNAcentral.
AUGACGUUAGCUCAGCGGUAGAGCGGCAAUCUUACGGUUGCAGUCGCCGGUUCGACUCCGGUACGUCAAA